RNAcentral lists this ribosomal RNA (464 nucleotides) under uncultured bacterium. Its description in RNAcentral is "bacterial SSU rRNA". It matches the Rfam family "Bacterial small subunit ribosomal RNA", at positions 338 to 795 of the family's 1533-position model. The record is from RNAcentral.
CCUACGGGAGGCACCAGUGGGGAAUAUUGCACAAUGGGCGCAAGCCUGAUGCAGCCAUGCCGCGUGUAUGAAGAAGGCCCUAGGGUUGUAAAGUACUUUCAGUCGGGAGGAAGGCGUUGAUGCUAAUAUCAUCAACGAUUGACGUUACCGACAGAAGAAGCACCGGCUGACUCCGUGCCAGCAGCCGCGGUAACACGGAGGGUGCAAGCGUUAAUCGGAAUUACUGGGCGUAAAGCGCACGCAGGCGGUUGAUUAAGUUAGAUGUGAAAUCCCCGGGCUUAACCUGGGAAUGGCAUCUAAGACUGGUCAGCUAGAGUCUUGUAGAGGGGGGUAGAGUUCCAUGUGUAGCGGUGAAAUGCGUAGAGAUGUGGAGGAAUACCGGUGCGAAGGCGGCCCCCUGGACAAAGACUGACGCUCAGGUGCGAAAGCGUGGGGAGCAAACAGGAUUAGAUACCCGCGUAGUC